GCAGGAAAAAAAAAUCAUGACAUAUCUCAUACAAUGUAUUGAAUAGGCUAAUAAUUGUCCACAGAAAUGGAGAAGACGGAACGUAAGCCCUAACUUGGUUACCAUAAAAUGUCAUUCGCUCUGCACCUCUCUUUCCCAAUUUUCAAAUCUGAUAGCCUCCCCCCCAAACUUACCAGGGUUCCAUUUCUAUGCAACUCGUCUUCCAAUUCCAACCAAUCUUAUCCUUCCAAACAAGAAUCCCAAGAUGAUUCUCAAAGCCAGCAUCAUCAAGUUCUUUUGGUGGAAAGAUACAUGAACGGAACUGCAAAGAGGUAUAUACUGGAUGAUGAAUUUCAACUAACAACCUUUCUUGAGGAUGAAUCCAAAUCUAAUGGAUUUUCUUCAAAGGAACUGCCAUGGCUUCCUGAUUUAGUCAAAGAUUUUGUUCUGCCUGCUGGUUACCCAGGGUCUGUUUCAGAUGAUUACCUGGAAUAUAUGCUGUUUCAGUUUCCAACCAAUGUCACUGGAUGGAUCUGUCACACUUUGGUCACUUCAAGCCUUCUAAAGGCUGUUGGUUUAGACUAUUCUUCUGCAACUACCGCCGCCGCUUCUGCUGCUGCCAUCAGAUGGGUGUCGAAAGAUGGAAUUGGUGCCGUUGGGCGUUUUUUCAUUGGUGGGCGAUUUGGAAAUCUUUUUGAUGAUGAUCCAAAACAAUGGCGAAUGUAUGCCGACUUCAUAGGAAGUGCUGGAAGCAUCUUCGAUCUCUGUACACCUCUCUACCCUGCAUAUUUCCUUCCACUAGCAUCUCUAGGGAAUCUUACUAAGGCUGUAGCAAGAGGGCUAAAGGAUCCAUCAUUUCGGGUGAUUCAAAGUCAUUUUGCUGUUUCUGGAAAUCUUGGAGAUGUGGCAGCAAAGGAGGAAGUUUGGGACGUAUCUGCACAGCUCAUUGGCCUUGGUCUGGGCAUAUUGGUCCUGUCAACACCUGGUCUUGUUAAUUCAUAUCCAGUUUUAGCAUCGACAUGGAUGACCAUGCGGCUUCUGCACCUUUGGCUACGUUAUCAAUCUCUUUCAGUUCUUCAGUUCAAUACGGUAAAUCUAAAGCGGGCCCGGAUUUUGGUGAACAUGCAUGUCUCAAGCUCAACAGUUUUGGGAUGUGAGGAAUGCAAUAAAAUGGAAAAUAUAUUAUCAUGGGAGAUAUUUUCGGUACCUCGAAUAGUUUUUGGUGUGUCUCUGUCUGACAUGCUUGAUGGUGACACAUCAGGCCUCAAGGUGAAGAAGCUUCUAGAACUUUAUUCUAAGGAGAAAUAUAUCCUUGUCCUCAACCAGCAGCCUUUCAAAGAUUUUGAAGUCCUUGUCUCCUUUAAGAUCUCAAACCAGAAGACUUGCCUCGGUUUUGGCGGUUCAGUCAGUUUCAUCGGUUUUUGAACAACCCUAGGGGGUUACCACAUGUAUUUCAUUAGGAGCGAGUUCAAGUGAGAACCAUUGAAUUGGCCUUUGAUUAUGGAGUGGACAAAAGGGCGAAAGGUGAGCAUCAUCAAUUGGAAUAUGACCCACGACUAAAAAGAUGGAGCUACAAGCCUCUCGAUGCUGCGAAGUGUUUGGCAGACGUAUUGGCUCUAUAAGAAUCAAAGCAGACAAGAAAACAUGUUUGAUCAACUUCAAGAAAGCCUGAAAGAACUUGAUCAUCAAUUUGACAUGUUUUUGCAGCAGCUAAGAGACGUCGGAUGGGACAUCGAUAGCAUAAAUUUGAAAGUUCGUAAAGACGUUUUUAUCCAAGAUUUUUCCAUGUAUUGAUGUUAUAUUAUAGUUGCAUUUUUAUACAUUGAUCAUUAACAUGAUGUUUUAAUAAUAUUUUUGUCAUAUGAGAUUUUUUUGUUUU
Molecule: RNA transcript, 1858 nt
Organism: Helianthus annuus (common sunflower)
Lineage: Eukaryota; Viridiplantae; Streptophyta; Magnoliopsida; Asterales; Asteraceae
Gene name: protein root UVB sensitive 5
Exons: 16
Source: RefSeq, a predicted model, not a curated record